This 322-nucleotide ribosomal RNA is filed under the name uncultured eukaryote. RNAcentral's name for it is "partial 18S ribosomal RNA". It matches the Rfam family "Eukaryotic small subunit ribosomal RNA", at positions 1470 to 1796 of the family's 1831-position model. The record is from RNAcentral.
CCCUUAGAUGUUCUGGGCCGCACGCGUGCUACACUGAGUGGAUCAGCGGGUCAGGUUGCGCGAAAGCGUUUCCUAAUCUUUAAAUCCGCUCGUGAUGGGGAUUGACGGUUGCAAUUUUCUGUCAUGAACGAGGAAUACCUUGUAAGCGCGGGUCAUCAUCCCGCGCUGAAUACGUCCCUGCCCUUUGUACACACCGCCCGUCGCUCCUACCGAUUGAGUGGUCCGGUGAGGCUUUGGGAUCUGAGCGGAAAGAGCGUUUCGCUGUUUCUGCUCGGAAAACUCAGUCGAACCUUAUCAUUUGGAGGAAGGAGAAGUCGUAACA